This 1956-nucleotide long non-coding RNA is filed under the name Homo sapiens (human). Its description in RNAcentral is "non-protein coding lnc-DNPH1-4:1". Lineage: Eukaryota; Metazoa; Chordata; Mammalia; Primates; Hominidae. The record is from RNAcentral.
UUUCAGAGGGGAGAGGAGGCAGCUGUGGGCAAGAAGAACCUGAGGGAAGGAAGAAGGGGCCGGGCCACAGCAAGCCCCAGGCACUGGAAAGGGGCCCCAGCCAGGGCUCUGUGCCCAGAACAACCUCUGCGCAAAAGGCAGGAGGAAAACUGGAAUGAAAGGCUGGGCAGCUACAGCCCAAGGGAGAGGACAAGAUGCAAACCACAGAGGGGGAAACCCAGGCAGCCCAUUCACAGAAGAGUCUUCUCCACUCAGAGCUGAAGAAACACGCUCAGGCCCACAGCUAGCCCAGCAGGCCCCUGCACUAGGACUGCUUGCUGCUUCUCCAGCUCAGAGCUCAUUGCAGGUGGGCAGGCGUCCUGCUCCAAUGCAAGCUCCUGCCCAGAGGCAAGGUCCGAGGGUAGCUCUUCUCCGUGAAGCCAGCAUGGCAAUGCAAAGCCACUUCCAGGCUACAUGACCUGGGACAGGUCAGACAACCUCCUAAGCCUCAAUGUCUUCAUCCACAAAAUGGGGAUAGUAGUAUAUAUUUCAGACGACUACCGUGAUAAUUACAGUAACACAUGUGAAGUUCUUACCAUAGGGCCUGGCCCAUAGAGAGCCCUCAAUAAAUGGUGCCUCUGUUGCUCCUGGCCCACCCCUGGGCACCCUCUCCCUCCCUCCUUCACUCCCUGUCCUCACCUUCUGCUUGGUGCUGAGGGGCUGUGACUUCAAUUUUUCAUCCUUGCUCUUGGAAAUCCUCAGGAACUGCUUGAGGUCUCCCUAAGGGAAAAGCCAGGCAUCUCGCUCAGAGACAGAGUCUUGCUAUGUUGCCCAGGCUGGUCUCGGACUCCUGGCCUCAGGCGAUCCUCCUGCCUCAGUCUCCCAAAGUGCUGGGAUUACAAGUGUGAGCCACUGUGCCCAGCCGCGUAAGUACUUGUUAAUGGAAAGACUGAUAGGACUCCUGCCCGCUCUUGCCCCAGAACUAGGGAUUUGAGAAGCAGCAGUUUGAGGACCAUGGGGUGAGGGCAAGGACCAGCUGGGGAAUGAAGAGGAAGGCGCAGCUCUGGGAAUGACACCCUGAGUGGAGAGGAGAAGGCUGGUGGCUGGGGUAACACUCAUGUCACAAGUGGUGCUAGGAAGGAGGGAGGCAAAGUGGGUUCUGAUAUAUUUAUUCUCAAGUGGGGACAAGCUUUUGGGGAGGAAAAAAUAACAAACCAAAGAAAACAAGAGUCAGAGAAGAUGACCUGGAAGGCAUCCCUGCAGUGUGACAGUGAGAAGUCCCAGAAAAACUUAGGACCAACGCCCCUGAGAUACAGAUGGAAAGACUGGGUGCUGAUAAAGGGAAAGCAGGCAUCCAAGAGCAGGGAAGGCAGAAGCUGAGCAUCAUAAGGUGGGCAAAGUGUAACAGCAGGCAGGUGAGGUCUCGGCUGAGACUGCACGAGACAAGGUUUUCACGGUGCUCCAACCACUGACUCCCACCUUUGUAGGACACUGCCCUCCCUACCCGAGACCCCCACGUCCCCUGCCAACAGCAUACCAGAUCCACAUAUUCCAGCACCAUGUAGUGGGGCUCAGCCUCCCGGCACAGCCCCAGGAGCCGCACCACGUUGGCGUGGUUCAGCUUCCCAAACAUCUCCAACUCCCUCCGGAAGUCCAGCUGCUGCUGCUCAUCCUUGCUCUGCAGGCUCUUCACAAGUACCAGGGUCUCUGCCACUCCCUCCUCCAAGCCCUGAGCCUUUGCCAGGAACACCUCCCCAAACUCACUCUUCCCUGUGGGUACAGUCUGAGUCAGCCAGCCACCUUCACCCAGGCCGAGGCAGCUCCUGACCUGGGGGAGGGGCCUAGCCUCUCCCACAGUGGGGACCCACCCACCUGGGCUGGGCACGAGACCCGGUUCUGCUGUGACCCCCUCCCUCCUUAGGCUUCAGUGUCUGCAGCAACAAAAUAAAAGGGUGGGACUAAUAUUCAGCAUUUUCC